AAAAUCCAAGUGAAUUGGGUCGUAAGAUGCCUCUUCACUAACUGGCCUUUGGGCCUUUAACCUUUGUGAACUGUAAUUGACUCUGGUCAGAUGCAUUUGCGCUGGCCAGUUAAUUCUUAAACAUUGUUUCCUUAGUCUUAUUCAAAGAUGUAAAUCUUUA
RNAcentral lists this unclassified non-coding RNA (160 nucleotides) under uncultured fungus. RNAcentral describes it as "sequence contains ITS1". Lineage: Eukaryota; Fungi. The record is from RNAcentral.